RNAcentral lists this ribosomal RNA (253 nucleotides) under uncultured bacterium. RNAcentral describes it as "partial 16S ribosomal RNA". It matches the Rfam family "Bacterial small subunit ribosomal RNA", at positions 524 to 776 of the family's 1533-position model. The record is from RNAcentral.
UACGUAGGUGGCAAGCGUUGUCCGGAUUUACUGGGCGUAAAGAGCGCGCAGGCGGUCGUUCAAGUCGCGUGUGAAAGCCCCCGGCUCAACUGGGGAGGGUCACGCGAUACUGAUCGACUCGAAGGCAGGAGAGGGUAGUGGAAUUCCCGGUGUAGUGGUGAAAUGCGUAGAUAUCGGGAGGAACACCAGAGGCGAAGGCGGCGACCUGGACAGUGACUGACACUCAACUACGAAAGCGUGGGGAGCAAACAGG